RNAcentral lists this ribosomal RNA (291 nucleotides) under Escherichia coli. RNAcentral describes it as "partial 23S ribosomal RNA". It matches the Rfam family "Bacterial large subunit ribosomal RNA", at positions 1917 to 2207 of the family's 2925-position model. The record is from RNAcentral. Lineage: Bacteria; Pseudomonadati; Pseudomonadota; Gammaproteobacteria; Enterobacterales; Enterobacteriaceae.
GCCCCGGUAAACGGCGGCCGUAACUAUAACGGUCCUAAGGUAGCGAAAUUCCUUGUCGGGUAAGUUCCGACCUGCACGAAUGGCGUAAUGAUGGCCAGGCUGUCUCCACCCGAGACUCAGUGAAAUUGAACUCGCUGUGAAGAUGCAGUGUACCCGCGGCAAGACGGAAAGACCCCGUGAACCUUUACUAUAGCUUGACACUGAACAUUGAGCCUUGAUGUGUAGGAUAGGUGGGAGGCUUUGAAGUGUGGACGCCAGUCUGCAUGGAGCCGACCUUGAAAUACCACCCUU